GACGAACGCUGGCGGCGUGCCUAAUACAUGCAAGUUGAGCGCUGAAGGUUGGUACUUGUACCAACUGGAUGAGCAGCGAACGGGUGAGUAACGCGUGGGGAAUCUGCCUUUGAGCGGGGGACAACAUUUGGAAACGAAUGCUAAUACCGCAUAAAAACUUUAAACACAAGUUUUAAGUUUGAAAGAUGCAAUUGCAUCACUCAAAGAUGAUCCCGCGUUGUAUUAGCUAGUUGGUGAGGUAAAGGCUCACCAAGGCGAUGAUACAUAGCCGACCUGAGAGGGGGGUCGGCCAAAUUGGGAAUGAGACAAGGCCCAAACCCCUACGGGAGGCAGCAGUAGGGAAUCUUCGGCAAUGGACGAAAGUCUGACCGAGCAACGCCGGGUGAGGGAAGAAGGUUUUCGGAUCGUAAAACUCUGUUGGUAGAGAAGAACGUUGGUGGGAGUGGAAAGCUCAUCAAGUGACGGUAACUACCCAGAAAGGGACGGCUAACUACGUG
RNAcentral lists this ribosomal RNA (497 nucleotides) under uncultured bacterium. RNAcentral's name for it is "partial 16S ribosomal RNA". It matches the Rfam family "Bacterial small subunit ribosomal RNA", at positions 28 to 507 of the family's 1533-position model. The record is from RNAcentral.